RNAcentral lists this ribosomal RNA (446 nucleotides) under uncultured bacterium. Its description in RNAcentral is "SSU rRNA". It matches the Rfam family "Bacterial small subunit ribosomal RNA", at positions 26 to 518 of the family's 1533-position model. The record is from RNAcentral.
AGAACGAACGCUGGCGGCAGGCCUAACACAUGCAAGUCGAGCGCUCCGCAAGGAGAGCGGCGCACGGGAGAGUAACGCGUGGGAACCUACCUUUUGGUUCGGAAUAACAUCGGGAAACUGGUGCUAAUACCGGAUAAGCCCUUCGGGGGAAAGAUUUAUUGCCAAAAGAUGGGCCCGCGUUGGAUUAGCUAGUUGGUGAGGUAAUGGCUCACCAAGGCAACGAUCCAUAGCUGGUUUGAGAGGAUGAUCAGCCUCACUGGGACUGAGACACGGCCCAGACUCCUACGGGAGGCAGCAGUGGGGAAUAUUGGACAAUGGGGGCAACCCUGAUCCAGCCAUGCCGCGUGAAUGAUGAAGGCCUUCGGGUUGUAAAGUUUCUUUUGGACGGGGACGAUGAUGACGGUACCGUAGAAUAAGCUCCGGCUAACGUUCGCGCCAGCAGCCGC